This 359-nucleotide transfer-messenger RNA is filed under the name Candidatus Woesebacteria bacterium RBG_13_46_13. It matches the Rfam family "transfer-messenger RNA". From Rfam's summary of the family: Bacterial tmRNA, also known as 10Sa RNA or SsrA, is named for its dual tRNA and mRNA-like properties. The record is from RNAcentral. RNAcentral also lists the same sequence under 2 other names. Lineage: Bacteria; Candidatus Woeseibacteriota.
GGGGGCGACCGGUUUCGACGGAAAGUACUUUAAAAAACUGCAAGCCAAGUUCGAUUCACACUUGUCAAAAGGAAUCAAAAACAAGCGUCAACUCACAAAGUUACGCUGUAGCCUACGCUUAAAAAACGUUUUUAGGUUACUGUUCUUUCGGAGGCGCCUCUUGACCGCGCCGGAAGGGCAUAAACCAGUCAAGAUGCCGUAUCCAUCUUUGGUUUGGGCUGGAUACCCAAGACACUAAACCUUACUUCAGUCAAUUUUGUUGUCUUUCUACCUGAAGGAAAAUUUAAGGACAACUAAGCUUGUAGUAGUUUUUUAGAAAUAUUUUUCGGACGAGGGUUCAAUUCCCUCCGCCUCCACAA